UACAGAGGGUGCAAGCGUUACUCGGAAUUACUGGGCGUAAAGCGUGCGUAGCCGGUUAUGUAAGUCAGGUGUGAAAGCCCCGGGCUCAACCUGGGAAUUGCAUUUGAGACUGCAUAGCUAGGGUGCGGAAGAGGGAAGCGGAAUUUCCGGUGUAGCGGUGAAAUGCGUAGAUAUCGGAAGGAACAUCAGUGGCGAAAGCGGCUUCCUAGUCCAGCACCGACGUUCAGGCACGAAAGCGUGGGGAGCAAACAGG
This 253-nucleotide ribosomal RNA is filed under the name uncultured bacterium. RNAcentral's name for it is "partial 16S ribosomal RNA". It matches the Rfam family "Bacterial small subunit ribosomal RNA", at positions 524 to 776 of the family's 1533-position model. The record is from RNAcentral.